CCCCAAAAGGGGACGGAGGGGAUUAAGUCGUUUGUGGCACAAACGACUUAAUCCCCUCCGUCCCCUUUUUGUA
Molecule: non-coding RNA, 73 nt
Filed under: Stenotrophomonas maltophilia
Lineage: Bacteria; Pseudomonadati; Pseudomonadota; Gammaproteobacteria; Lysobacterales; Lysobacteraceae
Source: RNAcentral